Molecule: long non-coding RNA, 1111 nt
Filed under: Limulus polyphemus (Atlantic horseshoe crab)
Lineage: Eukaryota; Metazoa; Arthropoda; Merostomata; Xiphosura; Limulidae
Description: uncharacterized LOC111089355, transcript variant X2
Source: RNAcentral
UUCUUUGUUUAGGGGUAACUCGUUACGCCAUUAAUGUUAGGCCUAAACUUUAUUUUAUGAUUUAGUUAAGUGUAGAUCCCUACUUAAGCUAAGUCAAUGAACUUGAACUUACUAGUAGCCUACAUACCACUUUACUAGUACAAUACUACUAGUAUUACCACAAUACCAAUAAUAUGCCGAAAUACCGAAGAAACAACAUUUUACUUUUAACUUAGCAGCCACCGUUGACGUUGUACCACCUGGCUUGGGUUUGUCAACUAUAACAAUGACACUGAUUGCUGUGUUUGUAGUAUUGAGACAUCGAGUGUCUUGUUGGACAGUUGUUUGAUAACAAUAUGGAACACAUCAGUGUUCUCUGGUUUAGACGUGAAAUAUUGUAAAAGAUGAUGAAGAAAUUAGGGUUUGUCAACUAUAACAAUGACACUGAUUGCUGUGUUUGUAGUAUUGAGACAUCGAGUGUCUUAUUGAACAGUUGUUUGAUAACAGUAUGGAAUACAUCGGUCUCUUUGGUGCCUCCUCCGAUUUAGAAGGAAAUAUUUAAAAGGAUGAGGAAAAGAACUCUUAUUAUUUUAGGCUUAACAAGGGAAUCUCUAUGUUUCACAUUUUCUCUGCCUGAAACUUACAAUUAUAAUGGCUUUCAACAGCACUUCAGGAGCCAAAUAUCUGAAGAUAACGUCAUCCAGAGAGGGACGAGGCAACCAUUUUCAUUUCGGCUAUGCUGUCGAGGAGGUGUUGGAUAUGCACAUCCGUGAUGAGUGAUAAAAACGCAUCACUCUACCUGUCACUGUGAUUGUUGAUAAGAAAAACACUGGCUAUUUUGGUUAAGUUUAAUUACUUCAAUAAUUCAUACUUAGCUUUAAAAAAAAAAAGUCACGGUGUAUUCCAAAUUGUACCGUCAGUAACAUUAGAUCAAUAUAUUUACCACUUGUUUUGUAUCUAUAUGAUAAAUAAAUAGCAAAUUCACUGCGUUAAUCAUGAUUCUUGUGCAGUUAUAUGAAUUAAACUCCGGAACUAUGAUACUCAAAUACUCGCAUGAAAAUCAACGAGGCAUAGCCACUUAGUGCUAGACAUUGUAGAUGUUAGGAACAGUUUUUAUUGGCUGAAUAAGAAA